Molecule: ribosomal RNA, 429 nt
Filed under: Acidobacteriota bacterium
Lineage: Bacteria; Pseudomonadati; Acidobacteriota
Description: Acidobacteria bacterium partial 16S ribosomal RNA
Rfam family: Bacterial small subunit ribosomal RNA
Source: RNAcentral
UGGGGAAUUUUGGACAAUGGGGGAAACCCUGAUCCAGCCAUCCCGCGUGUGCGAUGAAGGCCUUCGGGUUGUAAAGCACUUUUGGCAGGAAAGAAACGUCAUGGGUUAAUACCCCGUGAAACUGACGGUACCUGCAGAAUAAGCACCGGCUAACUACGUGCCAGCAGCCGCGGUAAUACGUAGGGUGCAAGCGUGAAUCGGAAUUACUGGGCGUAAAGCGUGCGCAGGCGGUUCGGAAAGAAAGAUGUGAAAUCCCAGAGCUCAACUUUGGAACUGCAUUUUUAACUACCGGGCUAGAGUGUGUCAGAGGGAGGUGGAAUUCCGCGUGUAGCAGUGAAAUGCGUAGAUAUGCGGAGGAACACCGAUGGCGAAGGCAGCCUCCUGGGAUAACACUGACGCUCAUGCACGAAAGCGUGGGGAGCAAACAGG